CUUUUCGGAUGGUAACGCUGCAUAUGUGUUGAGCAUUUAUAUUACAAAAGAAACAUUUUUUUAACAACUUCUCAUCCCAUUUCCCCAUUAAACAUCCUCGUUUUAUUUUCAUUCAUAUUUUAUAGCUGCUCAUUGGGUGUUUAAUCACAAGAAAGUUACAACACUACUUAUAAACAACGUAAUACUGCUAAUGGCCUCCUUUACCACCUCCCAUGUUAUUGUAAAUUUGCAAUAAAUAAAUAAAGGCGAGUCGAGACCAACAGCACACACACAGGAAGGAGAAAGGAAAGGAAAGAAAGGAAAAUGAAAUAGGGAGUCAGGGACGAGGUCGUAGUAUUGUUGUUCAAGAGUAUGAAUGGUUUAUACAUCCUACAUGCGGCAACAACCCACUGUUUUCUUUGGGUUAAGAGAGAAUUACCUAAUGCACUGUACAUUGCAUUUGAAUAUUCUGUUUUUAUUAAAUGCAAACGCAAACAUGAAUUGCA
This is a long non-coding RNA of Olea europaea var. sylvestris, 485 nucleotides long. RefSeq lists it as uncharacterized. The transcript has 2 exons. Lineage: Eukaryota; Viridiplantae; Streptophyta; Magnoliopsida; Lamiales; Oleaceae. The record is from RefSeq and is a predicted model, not a curated record.